Molecule: long non-coding RNA, 1142 nt
Organism: Gorilla gorilla gorilla (western lowland gorilla)
Lineage: Eukaryota; Metazoa; Chordata; Mammalia; Primates; Hominidae
Exons: 5
Source: RefSeq, a predicted model, not a curated record
CCCGCCCUCUCUACCGCAGGAGCCACAGCGUCCGCCGUCGCCCCCAAACCGCGUCUGCUGGGUGCCAGGCUGAAGAGCGCAUCCUCGCCUGCUUCCUCCUGGGGCAGCCCCAGAGCACGCGAAGAGGGUGCUGCGCGGGACGCCGGGGUCGGCUCACCAGGGCGCAAACAGGUGAUAUUUUGCCAUGUACCUGAGACCAUAUCAAAGACCUAAUAACAACUCUUGUACCUGGAGCCAGGACAUGUGCAGGAUGGUGACUCUCAUCCCUGAACCUUUCCGUAGGUGUUAUUGUGACAUAUACCUUUGCCCAACUCCUGAGUGAUUUAAUAAUCCUGCCUAGUUACAGCAUACAGAUGACAUUUUGACAUAUACCUGGGCCGAGAACCUUGCUGAUUUGACCCUCCUCUCUUAACAGCCUCCUCAGAAGGGAUCAUAACAUUUCUCUGGACCCAUUGUCUAGAGGAAAUUAUUAUGUAUUGCUGAGCCCAGUACCCAGCUGGUGUGAUUCUCUUUUUCUUCUUCAAACCUGUCUACAAUGGUCAUGGUGACACAUUACUUCAGGCUGUACCCAGACUCUGCCAAGAGGGGAUUAUUACAUACUGCAGAGCCCAGCACCCAGGAUGAAAAGCCAGAAUACAAGCAGUGACCACCACACCUGACAGACCUGUUGCUGCACAUAUCUGUACUCUCCAAUCAACAAAACCUGAUGCUAAAAACAGAAAAGGGGAGAUGUAGGAGAUUGGUCAGGGUGAUGGGAAAAAUUGUAGAAAGAUGCAAACCUUGGAAGGCUGGAAGAUUUUACAAAAGCUUCAGAAUAGGAUUUGGCUGAAGGCAGCCAGAUUCUCUUAUCCUGUGCCUUAAAGCUUAAGUUAGAUAACAAGGGGAUAUAAAGAAACUGAUCUAGGUAAGUUAGUUUACUUAGGCCUUGGAACCUGGCCUUUAAUCAUCUGCAGGACUGCUCUCCAGGGAGGGCGACUAUGUUAAUUAUCCACAAGUGUGUUAACUCAAAGCCUUUGUUAUUAAAUUUAUACUGAAUAAAUGCCUGCAGUGCCAGCAUGUCAGGGCCAUGGCUGCUGACUCUUUAUGGCACCCUCCUCAGUGUAUGUAAGCUGCCUGGUCUGUUAGCUCGCUGUUUCACUGGA